RNAcentral lists this ribosomal RNA (253 nucleotides) under uncultured bacterium. Its description in RNAcentral is "partial 16S ribosomal RNA". It matches the Rfam family "Bacterial small subunit ribosomal RNA", at positions 524 to 776 of the family's 1533-position model. The record is from RNAcentral.
UACGUAGGGCGCAAGCGUUGUCCGGAAUUAUUGGGCGGAAAGGGCGCGUAGGCGGCUUGGCAAGUGGAAGGUGAAAUCCCUCGGCUUAACCGAGGAACUGCCCUCCAAACUGCUCUGCUUGAGGCCGGGAGAGGCGAGUGGAAUUCCCAGUGUAGCGGUGAAAUGCGUAGAUAUUGGGAAGAACACCAGUGGCGAAAGCGGACUUCUGGGUUGUUACUGACGCUGAGGUACGAAAGCGUGGGGAGCAAACGGG